This 2005-nucleotide long non-coding RNA is filed under the name Helianthus annuus (common sunflower). Lineage: Eukaryota; Viridiplantae; Streptophyta; Magnoliopsida; Asterales; Asteraceae. The record is from RNAcentral.
UUCAAAAGCCCUAAUUAUCUUAUAGUGAAUCUCUGGCGAUUUAAACAUCUUUAUCAUCUUCAACCGUUGCUUUGGCACAUCACGCCUAAAGGUUUUUCUAUGUUCACCUCUUUUUCUUUCAUCCGCCUCCGUAUGCAGAAACCCUAAUACUCAUACGCUGCAUCUAUGGCCACCACACUCUGGUUCUUUGUGCUUGCGACCACCCCCUCUGUCUUCUUCAUCUCGCGUGAUGGGCUUUUGAUUUGAGAAGUCAUGGGGACGUUGGUGGAGUUCGGAGCUUUGACGCUCCGGCAGGCGGUGAUAAUGGCUGCGGUGUUUUCGGGUUAAUCGGGUCUCUAAAAUUUUGAUACCGUUAAGUCGCUGCAGCCGUUAAGGAAUCAUAAUGGAUACAAUGCGGGUAGUGGGAAGAACAAGAAAACGGCGGUUGAAAAUUCGGAUGGGUUUGAGCAGUGGAGAGCGAAGAAGGCAAAUGCGCAGAAAGAAAUGAAGCAGAAUGGCGGUUCAUGUGAUGUGGAGAAUGAACUGCAGAAAGCGAUCAAGGCUGCAUCGUCGUCGUGAUGAGUUAUUUGCAUCAAUGGAUAUCGACGAGAAUAUGCGAGUCGUACUGAUUGACUGACUCAUUUAAGUAACUUCAGCUGGAAAUCUUGCUGCGGUGCUCCAGGGGUAUCUUCGUCAUUUUAGGUUGGGUAAUGAGUUAUCUGUGUGUGCAGCGAGACGUUUGGGGUUUCUCAGCCUUUGUUACAUCCACAGUGGUUGCUGCAAGAUUUUCGCCCAGCUCAUUAUUCAUAUAGGUGUUCUGUUUAGUUAUCUGGGGUUGCUGGGUGGAUUUCGGGUUUUCUGCUGGGACAUACGGGGCUGUGAGGAGACCUGUAUUGGGCGGCUGGGCUGGGAUUUAAUCAUCUGUUGAAGGCCCGGGCUUGGUCGGAGUUAUGUUUGUUUUGUGCUAUUGAGAUGGAGCCCACUUUAAGCUUUAUGGCCCAGAUGAAUUACAAAAUUUUGAUGCACGAGGCCCGUUUUGCUGGUGCCAUCCUGGGCUGUCUGGCUAUGCUUAUGGUCAGGCUGAUGAUUGUCAAGAUGAAGACCCACCACUGGGUUUGCAAAAUGGUGUUCAAGACUCAGAUGCAUGAUGGUGUUGAGAAGCCGCGCAAUAUGGCAAAGGUCAUUAACUCAAGGUGGGUUGGUAGUAAGUGGGCUCGCCAUUUCAAUGCUCAAAAGGGUAAUUGAAUCAAUUCUUUUGAUUCUUGAUUCAUCCGUAGUACAAUGUUUUGAGUUGAUGGAGGAUCUUUAAUAGACUACAUGAUAGGUACUGAUUAACAAUAUUAAAGAUAUUGCUCCAAUAAUUUACACUCUUACAAUAGGUUUGGUAUGCCAAAACUAUUCAGUGUUGUUUAGACGCCCACAUGGAACGUACUUCAGUGCAAAAGAUAAAGGAGAGAUUAUGUCUAUAAGUGGCCAGCUCCUAAGGUAUAUCAUGAAUCCCAAAAGUGUGUAUGUGUUAAUAUUGAUUUUAAUUAACUUAGUAUAAUCAUAAAAAAAUUAUUCAGGUAGACAUGGUAAUGCUUACAAUUCAGGUUUUUGUCUACUCGGUUUUCGGGUGGCUUUGGGUCAGUUUUUUUUUAUUAGAGGUAAUUCCUCAUCUUAGGGAUGAGCAAAUGGUAUCGGGUACUGGUACCGAAUUUACCGAACCGGGUACAUUUUCGGUACCAAUUCAAUACCGACUUUUGACAUUUUUUAAAAAACUAACAGUUUUAAUUCAGCUACAUUACUUAGUUAAGCUCACUUUCUAAUAGCUAUUAAAUUAUUAAAAGCCUGUUUAAACUACUUAUGCCUAAAUGUUCGACAUAGCUCUUAUGCUAUUCUGAGUUGUUUCAAGUUAGCUUCGUUCCUUCUAGGUUUUAGUAUGUUUGUUCAUUUUCACUGAUUUGAUGACGAUAUCUGUAGGGUAGAUCUGGUUUUUUUUGGGUUUGUUUUUAAUGAUUUGCGAUAUCUGUGGUUUGGAUUUUUU